Molecule: RNA transcript, 3810 nt
Organism: Polyodon spathula (Mississippi paddlefish)
Lineage: Eukaryota; Metazoa; Chordata; Actinopteri; Acipenseriformes; Polyodontidae
Gene name: histamine H2 receptor-like
Exons: 4
Source: RefSeq, a predicted model, not a curated record
UCUGGGCUCAGUGAAAGUGUUACAGUAUUAGGGGACAGGCUCUAACUCACUAGACUUCUCUCCACUUAAACACACAAACACAAACUGCUCCAGUCUUGGGAAAGCAACAAGUAGGGGGAGUGUGGGGGACAUCACAGAGAAGCAACAUUGAGUAUCACUGGGCUAGCAGGACUGGCUCAAUGUACUUUUCAAGGUGUUUGGAGGUUGUUUCACACAUUUUGGGAGCAAGACAGAAGGAACAUGUUGAGGCACUGAGCCAUCUAUCCCUCCGCCCGCACCCAGGCAGACUGUGAGGGAGCCUGUUGCCUUGGAUACCAGUUAGUGCAGAAACAGGCUAUUCUUUCUAGAGCAGAGAUACCAAAACAGAAUGUCGUUGUUGAUUCUUCCUCCAUUACAUGGUACACCUUUAAAUUACAAAAAAUAAAUAAAUUGCCUUACAUAAUAGUUUUGGAUCCAGUACUUUCCAAGAUUAAAAUCUAGUUGGAAGCAACCAACAGAAGCAAAUAAAUAGAAGGGGAUUUGUAAUGACCUCUUGGACAGUAUUCAGUACUAUAGUCAAUUCUAACAGUAAUAACCCUAUUCAAGUUUAACCCUCCCUCCUUUGACAAGACAUUACAUCAGGAUAAAGAGUGCACCUCCACAUAAACACCCCCAAACUGAAGCCAAAAUGCCUAAUUUGUGGAGAACUGGGAUGUCCAAUCUAAGUGAACAAUAGCAGUUUGAAGGAAUGGAAAAAUGCUUGAACAACACAAUGGCCGCUACAGACCUGUGUCUUAAACGAAGCAUGUUAUCUACAGUAAUGCUUGGCUUCAUUCUUGGAGCAGUGAUCGUGCUCACAAUCUGUGGCAAUGUGGUGGUGUGCCUAGCUGUGGGCAUAAACCGCAAGCUGCGUAGCCUUACCAACUGCUUUAUCGUGUCUCUGGCUACCACUGACCUGCUCCUGGGGCUGCUAGUGCUGCCCUUCUCUGCUGUCAUUGAACUGCACAGGAGCUGGCCAUUUGGGGCCACUUUCUGUAACAUUUACACCAGCCUGGAUGUCAUGCUCUGCACUGCCUCCAUCCUUAAUCUCUUCAUGAUCAGUUUGGACCGAUACUAUGCCGUCACUGCCCCCCUACGCUACUCCACGCUGGUGACCCACUGUCGUGUGGCUGUGGCCAUGGGGUUCAUCUGGGUGGUGUCACUCAUGGUGUCCUUCUUGCCUAUCCAUAUGGGGUGGAACACACCGGACCUCACAGUUCAGAACAAAGGCGAAAAGGACAAGGAGGACAAAUGUAGGCUCGAGCUAAACAAGGGUUACGUGCUUGUGGACGCCGUUGGCACAUUUUACCUCCCGCUGGUUGUCAUGUGCAGCACCUACUACCGCAUAUUCAAGAUUGCACGGGAACAGGCCAAGCGAAUCAACUGCUGCACCGCUUCCUCCUCGCUCAAUAACCACUGUUCUCUGCCCGCAAAAGAGCAUAAGGCCACGGUGACCCUAGCCACCGUCAUGGGAGCCUUCAUCAUCUGCUGGUUCCCCUACUUCACUGUAUUCACCUACCAGGGCCUUAGUGAGGAGGAAGUGGAUGAAAUGACCUUUGCCAUCGUGCUAUGGCUCGGCUACGCCAACUCUGCCCUCAACCCCAUCCUCUACGCAGCUCUGAACCGGGACUUCCGCACUGCCUACAGCAGCCUGCUCCACUGCCACAAAGUGGGCCCAGCCACAGCCUCCCCUCAUUCUCACCAGGGAAGAGCAGAGGUCCCCAGGGGUAGUCACCAACAACACAGCCCCGACUGUAAGGGAAGCCUACUGGAGGAGAGAGCACUCACCAUGCAGGACAGAAAUGGAAAGGAGAACCCCUUCAUCAGUGAAACCGCAGAAAGGGGUCUGCCAGUUUCCUGUAGCAAGUCAAUGUGGAUCCUGUCCUUCUGCCAGGACGUGUGGCUGGCAAAGGUAGUGCCAGCGCAGAACAGGUGGAUCUUUGAGGAGAAUGGAGCUGAGCUCAUCAAAUCUCAGAAGAUGGUUGAGCCUUAAUACAGAACCUCAGAACAGAAAAAAACUGAAUAAAAAAAAAAAAAAACAUAAUUCAUCUUUUAAGAGGGAAUCUUGGAAUUACAGAAUGCCAGAACAUGUACUAUUUUAAAACAGAACUCCAGAACAUGGUGAAUGCUGAAUUGAACUGUUCCAAUUUGAGCUACUUUCUUGCUAUCAAAUUAAUCUUGUCAUGGUAAAUAAACAAACAGACAAAUAAAUAAAUAAAUAAAUAAUUGAAUAAAUAAAGCACCUGAAGAUGAGCUGCUGUUUAAGUGCUGUAAACCACUAUGAAGGCUCAUAUGAUAGCCCUGUAUUAAAAUUCAGGAGCUGAGAAUGGAGGUGCCACAGCAGCACUGGAGCGUGGCGAUGCAAGUGACAUCUCUGAGCGACUGAGGGCAACAUCUUUGCACUGUUAAUAAAUGGUUAUUCUAAAUUGUGUGGCUUGUGAGACAGACAGGGCACAUAGAGUUACAGGUGGCUGCACAUCUUAAGAGAGCCUUUCAGAGAUGUUUUUGAUAUGCAGGGACUCCAGAAACCUUUACUUUUCACCUAGGAUGAGUACUUAUUCUUUGUUAAUCAUUAAAUCCCAUUUGUGGUGCCAAGGCAACCCCCCCUCCCCCCAAAAUUAUUGGUGUUGUUUUUAAUAAGUUUUCAAUGAAGAUGUUUUUAAUGACAAUGAAGGCUUAACAGUAAGGUUAGGAUCCUUGACACUCAAAAUUGUCUUCCGAUGCGAUUAAAUUUACAGUCAAAUCUAGAACAUAUUCCGUGAAAAUAAAAUUGUUGGUAUUACAAAGCAAAAAUAUUCUUGAAAAAUCGAUGCCCAGCUUUUGAGAAUAAAAACAGCUUCUGAGCAGAUUUUGAUCUUAUUUAAUGGGAAGAUUGAAUCAUUACACUGUGUCAGCUAUCUUCAGCAGAACCACUGCAGUUUAAGUAGAAAUGUCUAUUAAAAUACACAAGAUGGGGAAUUGAAUGUUAUUGAACUGGGGAAUCUAACAUGUCUAGCAUUAAAUAGGAUUCAAAUAGUCAUAAAAGUAUGAAACCAUUUAGAUAAACUGAUUGUUGAAAAUGAUUAACAAACUGAAUAGUUAAACAGAUUGCUAGUUUUUCUGUAAGCAUUUGUCCACUUCGAAAAGCUAAAGACACUGUACUCUGUGAUGAUUAGGCAUUGAAACAGUUCUGGCCAUGUAUAACAGAUAUCUAGUUAAUAGUAUGGCUUGCAACUAAUCAACAUCAUGCAGAAUCUGCUCUUAGAAAUGUUCUAAGUCAUAUGGACUGCUACAUUUUUAGAAAUCCAGUCAACAGCUGUUAUACUCUGCAUGCUGAAUGAAGUCACAUUCUGCCUGCUAUCAUUUCUUGACCAUUUUCUUUUCAGACUUGACAGUGUUGCAUGUCACUUUUAAGUUAUGUACUGUAUGCUUUGAAAAGUGUUCUCUCCUUAAACUUAGAUUGGCAGUAACUUUGAAAUGGAUCUCAAAAACUCAUUCCAUACAAUUGAAAAAAUAAAAAAAUUAAAAAUCCAGUUUUCAAGUGACUGUAUUUUCUUAGGGACACUAAUGUAACAUGUCUGGGUGAAAACUACCACAUACUAUACAUUCUAUACACCACAAACAUGCACCAUUGCACAAAACAGACUGACUUUAAACCUCACCACAUUGGCACAGGCCAGAAUCUGUAAUGGUGUUGCCCACAAGACUGCCCAUAACACCAAUACAAUUUGAAGUAAUUUCUGCUGUGGGGAACUGAGGGAUAUCCAUAAUUAUAAACAUUUAAUCUGAGUAAAAUUGGAGCAGUCUCAGAUA